GCCUGGGUGGCUCAGUUGGUUGAGCACCUGACUUCAACUCAGGUCAUGGUCUCGCAGUUCACGAGUUCGAGCCCCGCACUGGGCU
RNAcentral lists this transfer RNA (85 nucleotides) under Felis catus (domestic cat). It matches the Rfam family "tRNA". Rfam says of the family: Transfer RNA (tRNA) molecules are approximately 80 nucleotides in length. Their secondary structure includes four short double-helical elements and three loops (D, anti-codon, and T loops). RNAcentral also lists the same sequence under 2 other names. The record is from Rfam by way of RNAcentral. Lineage: Eukaryota; Metazoa; Chordata; Mammalia; Carnivora; Felidae.